Molecule: long non-coding RNA, 303 nt
Filed under: Mus musculus (house mouse)
Lineage: Eukaryota; Metazoa; Chordata; Mammalia; Rodentia; Muridae
Description: long non-coding RNA chr4:23422512-23422815
Source: RNAcentral
GACUCCCCAGAUGAACACACAGGUGAUUGAGGUUAUGGUCUCAUUACCACGAGGUAUUGUGUCCAUCUCCCCUGGGAUCGACCAGAUCAGGUGUUGACUUGGGCGAGAGGGUCUGUUUGUGUGUUUCCACAGGACCAGACGGAACCUCUUUGGGUGCUGGAGAGGUUGGUGAGACGCUGCAAGAAUGAGGCUCCUGAUCCAGUUGCCCCUGUGGAUGUGGUGGAUGAUCCCACAAGCACAAACGAUGGAGCCGAGAUGAGAGAUCCUUUCGGUAUUCCAGAAGCCAAUACCAGCUCGACAUGA